AAAUUGAAGAGUUUGAUCAUGGCUCAGAUUGAACGCUGGCGGCAGGCCUAACACAUGCAAGUCGAACGGUAACAGGAAGCAGCUUGCUGCUUUGCUGACGAGUGGCGGACGGGUGAGUAAUGUCUGGGAAACUGCCUGAUGGAGGGGGAUAACUACUGGAAACGGUGGCUAAUACCGCAUAACGUCGCAAGACCAAAGAGGGGGACCUUCGGGCCUCUUGCCAUCAGAUGUGCCCAGAUGGGAUUAGCUUGUUGGUGAGGUAACGGCUCACCAAGGCGACGAUCCCUAGCUGGUCUGAGAGGAUGACCAGCCACACUGGAACUGAGACACGGUCCAGACUCCUACGGGAGGCAGCAGUGGGGAAUAUUGCACAAUGGGCGCAAGCCUGAUGCAGCCAUGCCGCGUGUAUGAAGAAGGCCUUCGGGUUGUAAAGUACUUUCAGCGGGGAGGAAGGUGUUGUGGUUAAUAACCGCAGCAAUUGACGUUACCCGCAGAAGAAGCACCGGCUAACUCCGUGCCAGCAGCCGCGGUAAUACGGAGGGUGCAAGCGUUAAUCGGAAUUACUGGGCGUAAAGCGCACGCAGGCGGUCUGUCAAGUCGGAUGUGAAAUCCCCGGGCUCAACCUGGGAACUGCAUUCGAAACUGGCAGGCUUGAGUCUUGUAGAGGGGGGUAGAAUUCCAGGUGUAGCGGUGAAAUGCGUAGAGAUCUGGAGGAAUACCGGUGGCGAAGGCGGCCCCCUGGACAAAGACUGACGCUCAGGUGCGAAAGCGUGGGGAGCAAACAGGAUUAGAUACCCUGGUAGUCCACGCCGUAAACGAUGUCUACUUGGAGGUUGUGCCCUUGAGGCGUGGCUUCCGGAGCUAACGCGUUAAGUAGACCGCCUGGGGAGUACGGCCGCAAGGUUAAAACUCAAAUGAAUUGACGGGGGCCCGCACAAGCGGUGGAGCAUGUGGUUUAAUUCGAUGCAACGCGAAGAACCUUACCUGGUCUUGACAUCCACGGAAGUUUUCAGAGAUGAGAAUGGUGCCUUCGGGAACCGUGAGACAGGUGCUGCAUGGCUGUCGUCAGCUCGUGUUGUGAAAUGUUGGGUUAAGUCCCGCAACGAGCGCAACCCUUAUCCUUUGUUGCCAGCGGUCCGGCCGGGAACUCAAAGGAGACUGCCAGUGAUAAACUGGAGGAAGGUGGGGAUGACGUCAAGUCAUCAUGGCCCUUACGACCAGGGCUACACACGUGCUACAAUGGCGCAUACAAAGAGAAGCGACCUCGCGAGAGCAAGCGGACCUCAUAAAGUGCGUCGUAGUCCGGAUUGGAGUCUGCAACUCGACUCCAUGAAGUCGGAAUCGCUAGUAAUCGUGGAUCAGAAUGCCACGGUGAAUACGUUCCCGGGCCUUGUACACACCGCCCGUCACACCAUGGGAGUGGGUUGCAAAAGAAGUAGGUAGCUUAACCUUCGGGAGGGCGCUUACCACUUUGUGAUUCAUGACUGGGGUGAAGUCGUAACAAGGUAACCGUAGGGGAACCUGCGGUUGGAUCACCUCCUUACCUU
This 1547-nucleotide ribosomal RNA is filed under the name Salmonella enterica subsp. enterica serovar Paratyphi A. Its description in RNAcentral is "bacterial SSU rRNA". It matches the Rfam family "Bacterial small subunit ribosomal RNA". The record is from RNAcentral. Lineage: Bacteria; Pseudomonadati; Pseudomonadota; Gammaproteobacteria; Enterobacterales; Enterobacteriaceae.